Panicum virgatum (switchgrass) is the source of this 281-nucleotide long non-coding RNA. RefSeq lists it as uncharacterized. The transcript is spliced from 2 exons. The record is from RefSeq and is a predicted model, not a curated record. Lineage: Eukaryota; Viridiplantae; Streptophyta; Magnoliopsida; Poales; Poaceae.
UGAGGAAGUUGAGCGGCGUCACCCAAGCAACGUGCCUUAUCAAGAACAUAUCUUGGAAGCACAAGCAAGAUAUGCCAAAGCUUCGCAGGGAAAAAGCUUCACAUUCUUCCAUUGCUGGCUCGAGGUGAGACAUACAUAAAAGUUCGCAAAAGCUGACAAGAGGCCAAGUAAGUCAAAAGAGAUCAACCUCUCGGUAGGAACUCAACAAGGUGACGGAACCCAAUCUCCUGCGAAGAAAGCCCGACCUCCGGGGCAAAAGCAGUCCAAGGAGAAGCUGAAAA